Molecule: transfer RNA, 73 nt
Filed under: Penaeus monodon (black tiger shrimp)
Lineage: Eukaryota; Metazoa; Arthropoda; Malacostraca; Decapoda; Penaeidae
Description: tRNA-Val
Source: RNAcentral
GUUUCCGUAGUGUAGCGGUCAUCACGUGCGCUUCACACGCAUAAGCCCCCCGGUUCGAUCCCGGGCGGAAACA